GUCCGGUGAUGAUACCAAGGCGAAUACGAGCUCACUGAAGGAGGGCUGGGUGUUUCUAGCCUUGACUGGCAGGUAAUCUUGGCAGUUCAGUGAAGGGUUGCUGUUCUGCUGUAAGGGCCUGCCUACAGUGACUUGGCCUAACCCAAAUUGUUGUUCCCUAAAUAGUUAUUAUGGCGUACUUUGGGUUAUGCUGACAGCGCGUGUGUGUCUGUGUGUGUGGUGUGCAAAGGGUCAGAAACUUACCCAGCUCUCAUAUUUAUUCAGUGAGGCAUGAGUGUGUUCUUUGGUAAUCUGAGGGCA
RNAcentral lists this small nucleolar RNA (300 nucleotides) under Oryzias sinensis (Chinese medaka). Lineage: Eukaryota; Metazoa; Chordata; Actinopteri; Beloniformes; Adrianichthyidae. The record is from RNAcentral.